UACAGAGGGUGCGAGCGUUAAUCGGAAUUACUGGGCGUAAAGCGCGCGUAGGCGGCUUUUCAAGUCGGAUGUGAAAUCCCCGGGCUCAACCUGGGAAUUGCAUUCGAAACUGAAUAGCUAGAGUUCGGCAGAGGGAAGUGGAAUUUCCGGUGUAGCGGUGAAAUGCGUAGAUAUCGGAAGGAACAUCAGUGGCGAAAGCGGGUCUCUGGGCAGUAACUGACGCUGAGGAACGAAAGCGUGGGUAGCGAACAGG
RNAcentral lists this ribosomal RNA (253 nucleotides) under uncultured bacterium. RNAcentral's name for it is "partial 16S ribosomal RNA". It matches the Rfam family "Bacterial small subunit ribosomal RNA", at positions 524 to 776 of the family's 1533-position model. The record is from RNAcentral.